Molecule: long non-coding RNA, 1246 nt
Filed under: Equus caballus (horse)
Lineage: Eukaryota; Metazoa; Chordata; Mammalia; Perissodactyla; Equidae
Description: lncRNA (ENSECAG00000046747.1)
Source: RNAcentral
AUUUGUUUAAUUUUGCUUUUGUUGCCUUUGCUUUUGGUGUCAAAACCAAAAAAUCAUUGCUAAGACCAAUGUCAAGGAGCUUAUCUCCUAUGUUGUUUUCUAGGAGUUUUAUGACUUCAGGUCUUAUGUUCAAGUCUUUAAUCCAUUUUGAAUUAAUUUUUGUGUGUGGUGUAAGAUAGUGGUCCAGUUUCAGAGUUUUGUUUGUUUGUUUUUGUCUUUGCCACCAGAAAGUAAGUUUCUGGAAGGUAACGUGGUCCAAUUUCAUUCUUUUUCAUUUGAAUAUCCAGUUUUCCUAACACUAUUUGUUGAAGAGAUUGUCCUUUUCCCAUUAUAUAUUCUUGGCUUCUUUGUUGAAAAUUAAUUGAUCAUAUAUGCAUAGGUUUAUUUCUGGGCUCUAUUCUCUUCCACUGAUCUAUGUGUCUGUUUUUAUGCCAAAUCCAUACUGUUUUGGUUGCUAUAGCUUUGUAACAUAAUUUGAAAUCAGGAAGUGUGAUGCCUCUAGCUUUGCUUUCUUUCUCAAGUUUGCUUUGGCUAUUUGGAGUCUUUUGAUUUUUUUUUUAAUUCUAUGAAAAAUGCCAUUGGAAUUUUGAUGGGGAUUACAUUGAAUCUCUAGAUUGCUUUGGGUAAUAUGGACAAUUUUACAAUAUUAAUUCAUCCAGUCCAUGAACAUAGAGUAUCUUUCCAUUUGUUUGUGUCUUCUUCAAUUCCUUUUAUCAAUAUUUUAUAGUUUUCAGUGUAGAGAACUUUCACCUCCUGCACUAAAUUUCUAACUAUUUUAUUCUUUUUGAUGCUGUCAGAAGCAGGAUUAUUUUCUCAAUUUCUCUUUCUGAUAGUUCCCUGUUAUUGUAUAGAAAUACACUUGAUUUUUGUAUGUUGACUUUGUAUCCUGAAGCUUUACUGAAUUCAUUUAUUUGUUCCAGCAGUUUUGAUGGAGUCUUUAGAUUUUCCAAUGUAAGAUCAUGUCAUCAAACAGAGACAAUUUUACUUAUUCUUUUCUAAUUUUCAUGCCAUGUAUUUCUUUUUCUUACUUAAUUGCUCUGGCUAGAACUUCUCUACAAUGUUGAAUAUAAGUGGUGAGAGUGGGCAUGAUCUUAGAUGAAAAGCUUUGUCUUGUUUGUCAUGUUCCUGAUCUUGGAGGAAAAGCUUUCAGAUGUUCAUCAUUGAGUAUGAUGUUAGCACUGGGCUUGUCAACUUUUAUUAUUUUGAGGUACAUUGCUUCUACACCCAAUUAGUUGAGAGUUUAAAU